GACAGAGGGUGCAAACGUUGUUCGGAAUUACUGGGCGUAAAGCGCACGUAGGCGGAUUUGUAAGUCAGGGGUGAAAUCCCGGGGCUCAACCUCGGAACUGCCUUUGAUACUGCAAAUCUCGAGUCCGGAAGAGGUGAGUGGAAUUCCUAGUGUAGAGGUGAAAUUCGUAGAUAUUAGGAAGAACACCAGUGGCGAAGGCGGCUCACUGGUCCGGUACUGACGCUGAGGUGCGAAAGCGUGGGGAGCAAACAGG
This 253-nucleotide ribosomal RNA is filed under the name uncultured bacterium. Its description in RNAcentral is "partial 16S ribosomal RNA". It matches the Rfam family "Bacterial small subunit ribosomal RNA", at positions 524 to 776 of the family's 1533-position model. The record is from RNAcentral.